This 234-nucleotide ribosomal RNA is filed under the name uncultured Actinomycetales bacterium. Its description in RNAcentral is "partial 16S ribosomal RNA". It matches the Rfam family "Bacterial small subunit ribosomal RNA", at positions 96 to 333 of the family's 1533-position model. The record is from RNAcentral. Lineage: Bacteria; Bacillati; Actinomycetota; Actinomycetes; Actinomycetales.
UGGCGAACGGGUGAGUAACACGUGGGUGAUCUGCCCUGCACUCUGGGAUAAGCCUGGGAAACUGGGUCUAAUACCGGAUAGGACCAUGCUUUAGUGUGUGUGGUGGAAAGUUUUUUCGGUGUAGGAUGAGCCCGCGGCCUAUCAGCUUGUUGGUGGGGUAAUGGCCUACCAAGGCGGCGACGGGUAGCCGGACUGAGAGGUUGGUCGGCCACAUUGGGACUGAGAUACGGCCAG